This 386-nucleotide ribosomal RNA is filed under the name Ips pilifrons. Its description in RNAcentral is "partial 16S ribosomal RNA". Lineage: Eukaryota; Metazoa; Arthropoda; Insecta; Coleoptera; Curculionidae. The record is from RNAcentral.
CUUUUUCUUCGAUUAGAACUCUAAGAAAAAAUUACGCUGUUAUCCCUAAGGUAAUUCUUCUUUUAAUCUUUAAAAAAGGAUCAUUUAAAUCAUUUAUUUAUGAAAAUUAAAUAAAAAAAGUUAAUUAAAUUUUUCAAUCACCCCAAUUAAAUACUUAUUUAAUAAAGAAAACCUAUAUUUCCAUAUUUUAACUUUAAAAAUUAAAUAUUAAACUCUAUAGGGUCUUCUCGUCUUUUAUAAAAAUUUAAGCUUUUUAACUUAAAAAUAAAAUUCAAAAUUUUUAGAUUGAGACAGCUAUUUUUUCAUCAAACCUUUCAUUCCAGCUUUCAAUUAAAAAACUAAUGAUUAUGCUACCUUAGCACAGUCAAAAUACCGCGGCCGUUAAA